AUGCCAGUGGCAACUGUGCCCCUGAAGGGGUGGUGGCCCACGCACAGCUUCCGUCCCCCAUCAGUCCACGCACAGCUUCCGUCCCCCGUCAGUCCACGCACAGCUUCCGUCCCCCGUCAGUCCACGCACAGCUUCUGUCUCCCGUCAGUCCGGUACUCCAGCAGCGGUGAAAAUCUCCUCAGUUCUUGUCUGUUCCAUCAGGCCAGCCCACCAUCUGAGCCCCAAACUCGAGUGCUCACCCUGCAGCCCGGGUUGGGAUGUCUGUGCUCCAGGCUGGAGACCACAGUGAACCUCCGCACAGAUGUGCCUCCACCACCAGCUGUGUGCCUGCUGCUCUGUAGCCCCUGGGAUUCACAGCAGUGCAGGCCCCACUGAUGUGCCCACCUCUUGCCUGGGCAGGGGGGUGCUUCCGGCUCAUGGACACCUUGGAGAACCUCAAGAGUCACCCCGUCUCUGUCCCUUUGGUUUCCUGGAUGAGGCAGACAGCACGCCCCUGCACAUACCUGUCUGCCCUGAGCCCACUCACCUUCCCACCUGGCCCUGAUGGAGGAACAAGCUGAGCUGGAAGCUGCACCUCAGGCUUUGGAGUCCCUCAAGAGACCUCACCCCUGCUGCAGGUCCCUAGUCCAGGGAAGAGGGAUGAGCCCAUGGGGCCAGCCCAGGCCCCCGCCCCACCCCACCACCCACUUCCUGAUGUGCCCGGUGCUGUUUGGGCCCCAGGGAGGAGGAGGAGCUCCUUGAAAACAGUGGUUAUGGCUCCCGUCACCCGCGACGUGGGACUUUGGACAAGUUAUGUAUGCCUGGAGCCUCACCUGUCUGCUGGGCACCUCACACCUGCCCACGGGGCCUCCAUGAGGAUAAUGUGAGGAGCUCCAUGCGCUGCCUGGCACAGGGGGAGCCUCAUAAUGGGUGAGGUCAUUGUAAGAAUUAAAGAAUGGAAACACACACACAACUCUCCCUCUCAAAUAAGCACAGCAAAAAAACACAGAAGCAGUCCAAGCUUCUAAUAAACUCUCCCACCCUAAAUCCUUAAAAACUCUUAGUCCAUAAAAGAGUGCGCUCUGACCUAACUCAGCCAGCCGCCCCUCUCAGGUUUGUUUAAAAUAAACCUGUCCCUGUUGACUGUACAGCCACCCUUCGUGUUUCUCUCCUCUUUCUUUAAUUAUUACAGUCAUAGUCUCUUGCCGGGCAAGACAGGCACGUGUCUUCAGGAAACAACAUGUGUGCUGGGUAGUGUGACUUCCCCGAGUGCAGGAGCAGUGACCCAGUCCCCUUCUCCCCACAGCGCCACCUCAGUCCCUCAGUCACAUCUAGGUGGCUUAUCUUCAGCAAGGUGUAAACUGGCCACAACCACCAGCCGCUGAGGACCUCUCUCCCCUCUUGAGAGAUGUCAGGGUCCCUUUCCCAGCGCCCCUGGCUGUGCAGCCCUGACGUCCCCACUCACAGCAGGAUGCCCACCACAGCCCCAUCAGCCAGGCUCCUGGCCUUCACCAACCACCCAGCCGGGCUGGCUCUGUGACGUCAGCAGCGAAGAAGACACAGUCCCUGAACGUGGAAUCACAACUGAGAGGGAGGGACCGCUGGCCACGUGGGCUGCCUGUGGCCCCUCAGAGCCCUCAGCACCCACGGCAUUUCCAAGCAAGUCUGGCUAUAGCAGUUGGAAGCUAUGCUCUGCCUAGCCCAUCGCAUGACCCCUGGAGGGGCUGCCCCCUCCUCGGCCAACUCAAGGCAGGCUGGCACCUCCCUCCAAGGCUCCUGCCCUCCAAAUCCAAGGACGCUGCUUCCUGGGAAGGACAGGACCUGCUCAUCCCCUCCCCAUGGAGGGGGCUUGAGGAGCCAGGUGUCUAGAAGGGGCUGAGGCUUCUCAAAGCUGGCACUGACUCCUCCAGAUGAGCUCCCCUCUCUUGCUGCCUCCCCUCAGUGCAGAGGUGCAGGGGUGGUGAGGAGAUCACAGGCUCACAGAGAGCCCAGCCGACAACCCCUUCGUCAGCCCCUGCACACUGCGGAUCACAUCACGGGCGCAGAACAUGAAGCUCUGUUCAGGGGGGCAUUCCUCGCCUAGCAGCAAAGGCAAGCCCGUCCCCCAGGUGUGGAUGCAGGGUCCUGGGGCAGCCUCCCCGUCUCCCUGCCCAUGUGGUCCUAGGCACUGUACAUCCAUUUUUGCUACCCACCCUAGCCCUGGGGAAAGGAG
RNAcentral lists this long non-coding RNA (2191 nucleotides) under Pan troglodytes (chimpanzee). RNAcentral's name for it is "lncRNA (ENSPTRG00000054302.1)". The record is from RNAcentral. Lineage: Eukaryota; Metazoa; Chordata; Mammalia; Primates; Hominidae.